GACGAACGCUGCCGGCGUGCUUAACACAUGCAAGUCGAACGGAAAGGCCCUGCUUUUGUGGGGUGCUCGAGUGGCGAACGGGUGAGUAACACGUGAGUAACCUGCCCUUGACUUUGGGAUAACUUCAGGAAACUUGGGCUAAUACCGGAUAGGAGCUCCUGCUGCAUGGUGGGGGUUGGAAAGUUUCGGCGGUUGGGGAUGGACUCGCGGCUUAUCAGCUUGUUGGUGGGGUAGUGGCUUACCAAGGCUUUGACGGGUAGCCGGCCUGAGAGGGUGACCGGCCACAUUGGGACUGAGAUACGGCCCAGACUCCUACGGGAGGCAGCAGUGGGGAAUAUUGCACAAUGGGCGGAAGCCUGAUGCAGCAACGCCGCGUGCGGGAUGACGGCCUUCGGGUUGUAAACCGCUUUCGCCUGUGACGAAGCGUGAGUGACGGUAAUGGGUAAAGAAGCACCGGCUAACUACGUG
This 468-nucleotide ribosomal RNA is filed under the name uncultured bacterium. RNAcentral describes it as "partial 16S ribosomal RNA". It matches the Rfam family "Bacterial small subunit ribosomal RNA", at positions 28 to 507 of the family's 1533-position model. The record is from RNAcentral.